CUACGGGGCGCACCAGUCGAGAAUCAUUCGCAAUGCGCGAAAGCGUGACGAUGCGACGCUGCGUGGAGGAUGAAGGCCCUCGGGUCGUAAACUCCUGUCAGGAGGGAAAAGCCGGCACUUGGUCAAUACCCUUGUGCCCCGAUGGUACCUCCAGAGGAAGCCACGGCUAACUCUGUGCCAGCAGCCGCGGUAAUACAGAGGUGGCGAGCGUUGUUCGGAUUUACUGGGCGUAAAGGGUGCGUAGGCGGCGUGCAAAGCUGGAUGUGAAAUCCCGGGGCUCAACCCCGGAACUGCAUCCGGAACUGGGAUGCUUGAGACCAGGAGGGGAUAGCAGAAUUCUAGGUGUAGCGGUGAAAUGCGUUGAUAUCUAGAAGAAUACCGGUGGCGAAGGCGGCUCUCUGGAAUGGUUCUGACGCUGAGGCACGAAAGCGUGGGGAGCAAACAGGAUUAGAUACCCCAGUAGUC
Molecule: ribosomal RNA, 465 nt
Filed under: uncultured bacterium
Lineage: Bacteria
Description: partial 16S ribosomal RNA
Rfam family: Bacterial small subunit ribosomal RNA
Source: RNAcentral